AGCAGCCGCGGUAAUUCCAGCUCCAAUAGCGUAUAUUAAAGUUGUUGCAGUUAAAAAGCUCGUAGUUGAAUUUCGGGAUCAAUAUGUCGGUCGUGCCAUUGGUACGCACUGGCAUUAUUGGUUUCUACCUUCUGAAGAACCUCGAUGUCAUUAAUUUGGUGUCUUGGGAAAUCAGGACUGUUACUUUGAAAAAAUUAGAGUGUUUAAAGCAAGCUCGCGCUUGAAUACAUUAGCAUGGAAUAAUGAAAUAGGACGUUUGAUUCUAUUUUGUUGGUUUCUAGGAUUGACGUAAUGAUUAAUAGGGAUAGUUGGGGGCAUUAGUAUUCAAUUGUCAGAGGUGAAAUUCUUGGAUUUAUUGAAGACUAACUACUGCGAAAGCAUUUGCCAAGGAUGUUUUCAUUAAUCAAGAACGAAAGUUAGGGGAUCGAAGACGAUCAGAUACCGUCGUAGUCUUAACCAUAAACUAUGCCGACUAGGGAUCGGAUGAUGUUAAUUUUUUAAUGACUCAUUCGGCGCCUUACG
RNAcentral lists this ribosomal RNA (522 nucleotides) under uncultured Glomeraceae. RNAcentral describes it as "SSU rRNA". It matches the Rfam family "Eukaryotic small subunit ribosomal RNA", at positions 569 to 1092 of the family's 1831-position model. The record is from RNAcentral. Lineage: Eukaryota; Fungi; Glomeromycota; Glomeromycetes; Glomerales; Glomeraceae.